RNAcentral lists this ribosomal RNA (316 nucleotides) under Klebsiella sp. RNAcentral's name for it is "bacterial SSU rRNA". It matches the Rfam family "Bacterial small subunit ribosomal RNA", at positions 161 to 476 of the family's 1533-position model. The record is from RNAcentral. Lineage: Bacteria; Pseudomonadati; Pseudomonadota; Gammaproteobacteria; Enterobacterales; Enterobacteriaceae.
AGCUAAUACCGCAUAACGUCGCAAGACCAAAGAGGGGGACCUUCGGGCCUCUUGCCAUCAAAUGUGCCCAAAUGGGAUUAAAUAGUAGGUGGGGUAACGGCUCACCUAAGCGACAAUCCCUAACUGGUCUGAGAGGAUGACCAACCACACUGGAACUGAGACACGGUCCAGACUCCUACGGGAGGCAACAGUGGGGAAUAUUGCACAAUGGGAACAAGCCUGAUGCAGCCAUGCCGCGAGUAUGAAAAAGGCCUUCGGGUUGUAAAAAACUUUCAACGGAGAGGAAGGCAAUAAGGAUAAUAAACUUGUAAAUUGA